GGUUAAGCGACUAAGCGUACACGGUGGAUGCCCUGGCAGUCAGAGGCGAUGAAGGACGUGCUAAUCUGCGAAAAGCGUCGGUAAGGUGAUAUGAACCGUUAUAGCCGGCGAUGUCCGAAUGGGGAAACCCAGUGCAAUUCGUUGCACUAUCGUUAACUGAAUACAUAGGUUAACGAGGCGAACCGGGGGAACUGAAACAUCUAAGUACCCCGAGGAAAAGAAAUCAACCGAGAUUCCCCCAGUAGCGGCGAGCGAACGGGGAGCAGCCCAGAGUCUGAAUCAGCUUGUGUGUUAGUGGAACGGUCUGGAAAGUCCGACGGUACAGGGUGAUAGUCCCGUACACCAAAAUGCACAGGUUGUGAACUCGAAGAGUAGGGCGGGACACGUGGUAUCCUGUCUGAAUAUGGGGGGACCAUCCUCCAAGGCUAAAUACUCCUGACUGACCGAUAGUGAACCAGUACCGUGAGGGAAAGGCGAAAAGAACCCCGGCGAGGGGAGUGAAAAAGAACCUGAAACCGUGUACGUACAAGCAGUGGGAGCACCUUCGGGUGUGACUGCGUACCUUUUGUAUAAUGGGUCAGCGACUUAUAUUCUGUAGCAAGGUUAACCGUAUAGGGGAGCCGCAGGGAAACCGAGUCUUAACUGGGCGUUAAGUUGCAGGGUAUAGACCCGAAACCCGGUGAUCUAGCCAUGGGCAGGUUGAAGGUUGGGUAACACUAACUGGAGGACCGAACCGACUAAUGUUGAAAAAUUAGCGGAUGACUUGUGGCUGGGGGUGAAAGGCCAAUCAAACCGGGAGAUAGCUGGUUCUCCCCGAAAGCUAUUUAGGUAGCGCCUCGUGAA
RNAcentral lists this ribosomal RNA (843 nucleotides) under Klebsiella pneumoniae. RNAcentral describes it as "partial 23S ribosomal RNA". It matches the Rfam family "Bacterial large subunit ribosomal RNA", at positions 1 to 888 of the family's 2925-position model. Lineage: Bacteria; Pseudomonadati; Pseudomonadota; Gammaproteobacteria; Enterobacterales; Enterobacteriaceae. RNAcentral also lists the same sequence under 3 other names. The record is from RNAcentral.